Molecule: long non-coding RNA, 562 nt
Filed under: Columba livia (rock pigeon)
Lineage: Eukaryota; Metazoa; Chordata; Aves; Columbiformes; Columbidae
Description: partial uncharacterized LOC102091222
Source: RNAcentral
CUCAGUUUCUGAUUAUGCGCAGAGUUUCCUUGUUCUGAGCUUAUGUUCUCCACCCACUACUUAGUAAGAACUCCUUAACAACUUAAAGCUUUAUCCCUGUGAGUACCAGAAAAGCGAUUUGAGUAUUUAUUGAGCAGGGAGAACAAACUGCUUGCUCCAGGCAGGGCGAAAGCUUAUGGAAAUGAUAUUAGACCUUCAGCAAAGUGCACAGCUGCAUCAUACAGAGGCUGAGACUCAAACUGACAGGCAAAUAAGCCAGAUCACGGAAGGGGCCUCUGUGUGGCAGCUCUGAGCUACCAAGUGUUGGACAACUAGGCAAAAGUGCAAUGGAACAGGGCAGAAAAUAACACACUAACUUCAGGCAACUGUUGCUUUUUCAUGGCUUGGAAAGUACUAUUUUCUGUAGAUGGUAGCAUCUGUCUGGUGUGAUGCCCCAUUCUUCUUGUGAUGCCACAUGCAGCACUGAGAAGUCCUGGCAAAUGGAAGAGGUAUCUUGCAAUAAGGUGUACAGCUGCCUUUCCGUUUUGCAGCAGGACCCUGUUUGCUGCUUCACAAGCCGCAG